UACUUACUCUUCAAUUUUUGC
This 21-nucleotide non-coding RNA is filed under the name Caenorhabditis elegans. The record is from RNAcentral. Lineage: Eukaryota; Metazoa; Nematoda; Chromadorea; Rhabditida; Rhabditidae.